UUUGGGCCCAAUUUGGAAAAUUGGGCCAUAGAUGGGCCAUAGUUUGGGCCUUAAUGAUUAUAUGAUGUUGGGCCUUAGAAUAAGACCAUGUAUAGGCCUGGGCCCAAUUUGGAAAAUUGGGCCAUGUGUUGGGCUUGAUUCCUAAUUUAAUUUGGGCCUAUAGAUUGGGCCUUGGGAUUGAAUGAGCCAAGCUUGGGGGUAAUGUAGUAAUUAUCCAAAUAAUGUACUAUUGGUUAUGUGUUGGGGACCCAAUUAUUAAUUGGGUAAUGUUUUGAUAUUGACAGAUCGGGAAUCUGUCAUCCAGCAGCUGGGGUCGAGUCUGCGGGACUUCAGCAAUGAGGGGUUGAGUCUACGGGACUUCAGCAGUGCGAGGUGAGUUACCUUCCAGUAGGAGAGGGUCUNCCACUAGUAGGAGUUAUUUGUUAGAUGAUUGUCUUUGUGAUAAUUAAUUGGUGUGUUGUUAUCUGAUAUGCUUUAUGUGCUAGGAUGCUAUGACAUAUGUGUUAGUAGUGGUAGGGGUGAUAUAGCCCAUAGUUACCGGUUGAAAGAUACUGAAGGGGUAGAUAGUACCCAUGCAUGCCUAGCAGUAUGAUCAUGAUAUGUUAUUAUGUGAUAGUGGUAGGGGUGAAAUAGUCCCCAGUUACCAGUUGAAAGAUACCGAAGGCAGUUACCGGUUGAAAUAUACCGAAGGGGUAGACAGAACCCAUGUAUGAUAUGUUAUUAAGUGACCAGUAUGGUUAUGAUAUGCCAUUAUGUGAUUCAGUAUGUUUAUGUUAUGUAUCAUGGAACCAAUAUGUUUAUGACAUGUUAUUAUAUGAUAGUGGUGGGGGUGAUAUAUUCCCCGGAUACCGGUUGAAAGAUAUCGAUGGCAGUUACCGGUUGAAAGAUACCGAAGGGGUAUACAUAACCCACGCAAUGCUUAUCUGUUUGUUUUUUAUAUGUUGGUAUGUGAUCAUUAUGUUAUGAUGUUAGUUUGUGAUCAUUAUGUUAUGAUGUUAGUUUGUGAUCGAUAUGUUAUGAUGUUAGUAUGUGAUCAGUAUGUUAUGAUGUGUAUGUUUAUGAUAUAUUAUUAUGUGAUGGUGGUAGGGGUGAAAUAGUCCCCGGUUACCGGUUGAAAGAUUCCGAUGGUAGAUACCAGUUGAAAGAUACCAAUGGUAUUAUGUGGUAUGUGGUAUGAUGGGGGAACUCACUAAGCUUCGUGCUUACGGUUUACAGUUUUGGUUUCAGGUGCUUUGUUUGCAAAGGAAAGGAGCCGGCUUGAUCGCAGCGCAUCACGCUAUGUUUUCUGCAAACGAGAUCCUUGGGAUUUUACUUUGAUAUGGUUUCAUAAUAUUAUAUUUUGAUUAUUCAUACUUUGGUUUUAUGUAAUAACCUAAUUAAAAAUGAAAUUUUU
This 1393-nucleotide long non-coding RNA is filed under the name Lactuca sativa (garden lettuce). Its description in RNAcentral is "long non-coding RNA (LSAT_LNC005436)". Lineage: Eukaryota; Viridiplantae; Streptophyta; Magnoliopsida; Asterales; Asteraceae. The record is from RNAcentral.